This 429-nucleotide ribosomal RNA is filed under the name Fusobacteriota bacterium. RNAcentral describes it as "Fusobacteria bacterium partial 16S ribosomal RNA". It matches the Rfam family "Bacterial small subunit ribosomal RNA", at positions 355 to 776 of the family's 1533-position model. The record is from RNAcentral. Lineage: Bacteria; Fusobacteriati; Fusobacteriota.
UGGGGAAUAUUGCGCAAUGGGCGAAAGCCUGACGCAGCGACGCCGCGUGAGGGAUGAAGGUUUUCGGAUCGUAAACCUCUGUCAGAAGGGAAGAAACCGCACUGUGCUAAUCAGCAGUGCCUUGACGGUACCUUCAAAGGAAGCACUGGCUAACUCCGUGCCAGCAGCCGCGGUAAUACGGAGGGUGCAAGCGUUCAUCGGAAUUACUGGGCGUAAAGCGCACGUAGGCUGCUUUGUAAGUCAGGGGUGAAAUCCCACGGCUCAACCGUGGAACUGCCUUUGAUACUGCUUAGCUUGAAUCCGGGAGAGGGUGGCGGAAUUCCAGGUGUAGGAGUGAAAUCCGUAGAUAUCUGGAGGAACAUCAGUGGCGAAGGCGGCCACCUGGACCGGUAUUGACGCUGAGGUGCGAAAGCGUGGGGAGCAAACAGG